This 460-nucleotide ribosomal RNA is filed under the name uncultured bacterium. RNAcentral describes it as "partial 16S ribosomal RNA". It matches the Rfam family "Bacterial small subunit ribosomal RNA", at positions 338 to 795 of the family's 1533-position model. The record is from RNAcentral.
CCUACGGGAGGCAGCAGUGAGGAAUAUUGGUCAAUGGGCGGAAGCCUGAACCAGCCAAGUAGCGUGCAGGAUGACGGCCCUACGGGUUGUAAACUGCUUUUAUACGGGAAUAACGCGCCUUACGUGUAGGGCUUUGCAUGUACCGUGUGAAUAAGGACCGGCUAAUUCCGUGCCAGCAGCCGCGGUAAUACGGAAGGUCCGGGCGUUAUCCGGAUUUAUUGGGUUUAAAGGGAGCGUAGGCCGCAGGUCAAGCGUGCGGUGAAAUUUCCGGGCUCAACCCGGGCCUUGCAGCGCGAACUGGCGUGCUUGAGUGCGCGGAAAGUAGGCGGAAUGCGUGGUGUAGCGGUGAAAUGCUUAGAUAUGACGAAGAACCCCGAUUGCGAAGGCAGCUUGCUGCAGCGGAACUGACGCUGAGGCUCGAAAGCGUGGGUAUCGAACAGGAUUAGAUACCCCUGUAGUC